AAGAUACUUGUGUCUUUCUCUUUUUGUGCUAUUCAGUGAUGGAAGAAUAACCACUUAUGUUUUCUCUUAUGAAGGUGAUUUGAGAAAAAAUGCAAAAUAUGCUUAAAAGCACUUGAAUUAUCUACGUGCAAAAAAAGGUAAAAUUUUCACUACUUAUGUGGAGUAGGCACCAUCUCAAUUUGAAUGAGCUAAAUUUCAGUAGCAGGUGACUGGAGUAUGCCCUAAAAUCCUCAUGUCAUACAUUAUGGCAUGUUUGUGUUCACUGGCAAGAAUAGAGAUUUAUGGAUUUAUUCAGACUUACUCAAGACAUUAUAGAUGUCUCGCUGAAAAAUCUGUUAGUUUCAUCCAGAUACAGAAGCAGAAUCACCAUAUAAUAUUUUCAUCUAUUAUGUUAUGUGACUCAUUGUGACUGCAGGUACUUGAAUGACCUACAGAAUAAUCAUGGACAUUUGACAUUUAGCUAACAUUUAGACCAUCAACUGAAGAAAUGAAACAGGUAUUUGUUCCAAGGCCAGGUCAGGUUUAGUUAUAACAUUUUUGUUCCUUUUUUGGAUAACCUUUUCAAUCACAUUUCUCAAAAGGCAGCACUGAAAAAAAGCAUAUUCUUAUUUAAGAGACAUACACCACGAUUCUAAUCCAAUGCUGUUUUUUCUUUUUCUUUUAAAAGUCUUUUGGUAUCAGAUAUUAGUUAUUUUUUGGUCAUUAUUACUUUCUUUAAUAUCCAUUUUUUCCAAAAUGUUAAAAAAUCCAGUCAUCUUUAAGUGUAUGAAUUUGCUAGGAAAAUAAUAGAAACACUGAUAAUUUCAGUUGUAUCAGUUGACUAAAAAAAUUGUAUCUAUUAACACAUAUGUUGUUCCUUGUGUGUGUGUCUUGCAGUCCUUCAAGUCUACUGAGAUUGUGUUUCUCCGUAUCAAUAUAUUUUUCUUCCAUAUAAUCAAUGAGAAGUAAUUUGGCAGUUAAUUGCUGAUUAUCCUGUCCUUUCUGAAGGUGAUUCUGUUAUCAUCUUUGAUUUGGAAGACCAAGAGACUGUCCUAUACCUGCUCUUUUAUUUUGAUCAUCUUAAUCUUAAAGCCAAAAUCACUGAAAAGUGAGAAGAGAUGGGGUUAAAAUACAGCAACAAAAAUAAAUAUGUUUUUCAUUUUGUACAGUGAGAGGAUUACCAAUGAGGGCGAUGAUUGUGUAUCUCUGCUGAUGAGAAAUGACCUACUGCUGAGGAGAGAACAUUCUGGCAGGAAACAGAAAGCAGACACAUAAUUCACAAACCAGACAGUGAGAGAGAAGUCUCAGAAUAAAAAUAAGCACAGACAUAUGUACGGAUGGCAGAGUGUGGCCCUGGAGACUGUCGCCCCUGUGGGAAGGGCAGUGGUGUUGAGGUUCUGAGCACAUUUUAUCUGCAGACACUAAAGAGCACCAUUAAAUGGGAAAGAAUGUUCGGCUGUAGAAAAAUAAUGUAAUUGGUUCCAGGAAGAAAAAUUAAGGGAGGUGAUUUAAAAUGUGAAAUAUAGCUUUAGUUUCUCCUCAUGCAUACUUAAUAAAAUUUGGACUUCAUUUGGCAUUUACGG
Long non-coding RNA from Mustela putorius furo (domestic ferret), 1562 nucleotides. The record is from Ensembl. Lineage: Eukaryota; Metazoa; Chordata; Mammalia; Carnivora; Mustelidae.